Long non-coding RNA from Ipomoea nil (Japanese morning glory), 401 nucleotides. RefSeq lists it as uncharacterized. The transcript is spliced from 2 exons. NCBI's taxonomy places the organism in Eukaryota, Viridiplantae, Streptophyta, Magnoliopsida, Solanales, Convolvulaceae. The record is from RefSeq and is a predicted model, not a curated record.
AUGCAUUGUAAAAGACAGCAUUAGUUUCAAAAUCACAAUAUUCAGUUCACAUUCAAACAUUGCUAGGUCAGAAACUACUGCAAAUUUUGCUGAGCAGAAACACCAAAUUCUAUUCCCCACCACCAUUAAAGAUUCUGUAUGGUCAACAUACAUUCAUACUUGCACAAGAACUCUCCAAUAAAAAUGUUUAACCUCAAAAGAAGAGUCAUGCAUGCAUGUUACAAAAGACAUUAUUAGCUUAUAAUAAAAUGAAUGCUUCUACUAGGAGUGAAGAUGAUUUCAAGACGUCACUGAUGCUAUAAUGUGUAAUCACUAAUCAUACGCUUGAAAUACAAAAUAUCCAAUGAUGACAAGGGAGUGAGGGACAAGGAUGCACGCGGCAAACGCCCAGGCUCUAAUAC